Brassica napus (rape) is the source of this 2673-nucleotide long non-coding RNA. RefSeq lists it as uncharacterized. The transcript is spliced from 4 exons. Lineage: Eukaryota; Viridiplantae; Streptophyta; Magnoliopsida; Brassicales; Brassicaceae. The record is from RefSeq and is a predicted model, not a curated record.
GCCUGGUACGAGUGUGGUUCGAAAAGUGACACGUGGCAAUUCAAGAGUGUAACGAUCACACAUUUGAAUUGCUUUGCGCAUAACUCAAGUUAAUGGCUGAUUAUUACAUAAUCAACGAGAAUUUGUAGGUUAGUUUCUAUUACUUAAUAAAAUAUUUUGCAUACGUACGUAACACAGAAGAGACAAAAAAAAGUAGCGCAUCAUUCCACAAACUUGUAAUCAAAUCUUAAUUAUUUAAAUUUAAGGAAAGUUCAACUUGCAUAAAGACAGCUAACUAGCAAGACUGGUUUUACACUAAUUACGUGUGAAAAACAGAACAAGUACAGUUGUAUGUCUUAUCGAUGGAAGCAAAUCAAGGAUGCUAAUUGCCAAGUCCAACGUUUGAAUUUAUCUUAAGAAGUUACUAUAACUAAACAACUGUUAGUCUUAUAAUGGGGUUAAAUGUAAACUUACUCUUAUAGCGGUAGCUAUACAUACGGUUAUGAAUACAUGGAGUGGAGCUGGUAACGGAAUAAAGUUCAGACAACUGAAUUUCAAUAUUCAAAAGAAAAAUUGAGAGCAAUGAGCGAGGCUAGUACAUGUAGGCUUCCCUUUAGAUUACCCUUUAUUUGAUACAAUAGAGUGGUUUUCUAUUUACACAAUCACACACAUAUAUUUAUGGAGUAGUACUGUUGAUUUACCUAGAAGACAAUAGAGUAAAAAGGAGGUAUUGAUGUUGAUUAGACAAAUCGUUGAAGUGCUUCUGAUCUGUUUCAGCUUUUUUUUCCUUCUUGUUUUCUAAUUAUUUUGUCUUUUCUUCAGGACUUACAGUGGGUAAGCAAUUAGCACCAUCCAACGGGCACAUCCAAGGUAGGACCAUUAAUGGGCUCAGUAAUGGGCUCUAUAAAAGGGGCCUAGUAACAUAAUCAGUAAUAAUGACCAUUUAUAAACACUAACCACAAAAGGUAAUUUCCACAAGAAAAGAGCACAGAAAGGUUAGUACAUUACUGCUUUGGAAAUGAACUGUUCCAUAUCUGCAAAUUGGUUUGUUUUGAUUCUGUCUAGGGUUCGAUUCGAACAUAACUUGUACUCGUGAAGCUACAGAAAAGAGAUGGGAGAAUCUAAGAGCUUUACUGGGUCUUAUAAAGACUUUGUUUAAUUUAUUCAUCGUCUUUAUUCUUCUUCACAGCUUCUAACCUGAAGCUGGUCCUCCUGCUUACUUUAUUCAUCGUCUUUACUCUUCUUCACAGCUUCUAACCUCAAGCUGCUCCUCCUUCUGGUUCGUUGGUUAAGCCCAUGUCCUCGGUUCUGAAGUAGACUACAUGAUCAUCGUCCUCUAAAACAUCCUCUCAGUCGUGAUUGCUCAAUUUCAAGGGAAGAUCGGUGGCUGGAUCAUUUCAAGGUAAAAGGGGACAUGCUGAUGGAAAACAUAGCAAGGCUCGUUUUAAUCAUCCUAAAAGGAGUCAAAAUGGAUGAUAAAGGGAAUGUUUAUGUCGCUGAUACUUUGAACCUAGCCAUAAUUGGAGAUUCAGAUGUCACUACUAUAACUGGAGGGAAAUCAUAUGUAGCUGGGUUGUAGAGAUGGGCUAUGCUCAGUCCUAUGCCACAGAAGAGGGAUCAAGGCGUCGCCAUCAAGGCAGCAGCAUCAGAUACGGUGAAGCCUGUAGAGUACAAUAUAAUAAUGAAGGAUUGUUGAUUUGUUUCAUACUCUAAUUUGCUUUUUGUUGCUGUUAAAGAAUUUUCUCUCUAUGUGUUUCCUUUUAAAUCCACAGCUUUUCUUCCAAAAUAUAAAUCUAUUCACCAGAAGGAAAAGAUGACUUCCUUUGGUAAGAAUAUCUGUGGCUGAUUGUUUCAUGUUACUUGUUGCAGGGUCAGUGAAAGCUGAAAACAAGACCAGCAAAGAGUUUUGAGACCAUGGUCCUUAGUACAGGUAUGACACUUGUAGCUUUUCUAGAAUUGAUCUUGCAUUCUAACAUUAGGAUGUAAAAAUGAGUAUAUUCAAGGGACUAAAGGUAGAAUGAGCAGAAUACAGUUUCGAAAGGGAAAAAGAAUAAAAACAUAAAGGGCCCUACCGGGUUCGAACCGGUGACCUCUUGAUCUGCAGUCAAAUGCUCUACCACUGAGCUAAGGACCCUUUUUGUCGUUAUCCGUAAUAGUUUACAUUUUUAUUACUUAAAAUUUCACCGUAAGAGAUUAGGUGCUCAUGCAAAAACCAUUGUGAUUUCUCCAUGGUUGUCUGGCUUUGAGACAUAGCUAACGCAUGAAUAUGAUUCUUAAUUCACGUUCAGUAUUCCAUUGUUAUCUAAUUAAUGUAGAGAUUGCUUGAAAAUUUUGUAAUUUCAUACGUGUUUUGUUUGUAAUGGAAGUUAUUAAUCUAACGAAUUCGUAGCCUGCCUCUAAUCAUCCGAUUUACUUGCUUGGGUCGCACACCAUCCAUCCCCUUUCUCAACCUCACUAGUCACUACCCCCUCUUUGAUUUCACUCGUCGAAUGCAUAUUUUAUAUUUAUUUGUUCCUUAAUAAGUCGAAUUAUGGAGUCCUACUUAAAUGUAGAAUCAAACACAAUAACAAAUAUGUAGUCUAUUAGCAACGGACCUUUAGUUUAUUCAGAUUCAUUCAAAUGUAGAAUCAAACACAAUAACAAAUAUGUUAUAAUGUUGUUUUCCUAUUUUUAAAUAUUUCUUACUAAAGCAUA